AGAGUUUGAUCCUGGCUCAGAAUGAACGCUGGCGGCAGGCCUAACACAUGCAAGUCGAGCGAGGUAGCAAUACCUAGCGGCGGACGGGUGAGUAACGCGUGGGAACGUACCCUUUGCUUCGGAAUAGCCCCUGGAAACGGGGAGUAAUACCGGAUGAGCCCUACGGGGGAAAGAUUUAUCGGCAAAGGAUCGGCCCGCGUUGGAUUAGGUAGUUGGUGGGGUAAUGGCCUACCAAGCCGACGAUCCAUAGCUGGUUUGAGAGGAUGAUCAGCCACACUGGGACUGAGACACGGCCCAGACUCCUACGGGAGGCAGCAGUGGGGAAUCUUAGACAAUGGGCGCAAGCCUGAUCUAGCCAUGCCGCGUGAUCGAUGAAGGCCUUAGGGUUGUAAAGAUCUUUCGUGGGGGAAGAUAAUGACGGUACCCCAAGAAGAAGCCCCGGCUAACUCCGUGCCAGCAGCCGCGGUAAUACGGAGGGGGCUAGCGUUAUUCGGAAUUACUGGGCGUAAAGCGCACGUAGGCGGAUUGGAAAGUCAGAGGUGAAAUCCCAGAGCUCAACUUUGGAACUGCCUUUGAAACUCCCAGUCUUGAGGUCGAGAGAGGUGAGUGGAAUUCCGAGUGUAGAGGUGAAAUUCGUAGAUAUUCGGAGGAACACCAGUGGCGAAGGCGGCUCACUGGCUCGAUACUGACGCUGAGGUGCGAAAGCGUGGGGGAGCAAACAGGAUUAGAUACCCUGGGUAGUCCACGCCGUAAACGAUGAAUGCCAGUCGUCGGGUAGCAUGCUAUUCGGUGACACACCU
This 800-nucleotide ribosomal RNA is filed under the name uncultured bacterium. Its description in RNAcentral is "bacterial SSU rRNA". It matches the Rfam family "Bacterial small subunit ribosomal RNA", at positions 8 to 853 of the family's 1533-position model. The record is from RNAcentral.